GUACUUCUGAAGAGUUCCAAAGUAGGACGAAACAGCCGUUCAGUAC
Molecule: non-coding RNA, 46 nt
Filed under: Schistosoma mattheei
Lineage: Eukaryota; Metazoa; Platyhelminthes; Trematoda; Strigeidida; Schistosomatidae
Source: RNAcentral